AGCAGAAUGGUUUAAUGGAAAAAACAUAGGCCUGGGAGCCAGAGAACUUGGGUUCUAAUCCUGAAUCUGCCA
Molecule: transfer RNA, 72 nt
Filed under: Ornithorhynchus anatinus (platypus)
Lineage: Eukaryota; Metazoa; Chordata; Mammalia; Monotremata; Ornithorhynchidae
Rfam family: tRNA
About the family: Transfer RNA (tRNA) molecules are approximately 80 nucleotides in length.
Source: Rfam by way of RNAcentral